AACGAACGCUGGCGGCAUGCCUAACACAUGCAAGUCGAACGAGACCUUCGGGUCUAGUGGCGCACGGGUGCGUAACGCGUGGGAACCUGCCUUUAGGUUCGGAAUAACUCAGAGAAAUUUGAGCUAAUACCGGAUGAUGUCUUCGGACCAAAGAUUUAUCGCCUUUAGAUGGGCCCGCGUUGGAUUAGCUAGUUGGUGGGGUAAAGGCCUACCAAGGCGACGAUCCAUAGCUGGUCUGAGAGGAUGAUCAGCCACACUGGGACUGAGACACGGCCCAGACUCCUACGGGAGGCAGCAGUGGGGAAUAUUGGACAAUGGGCGAAAGCAUGAUCCAGCAAUGCCGCGUGAGUGAUGAAGGCCUUAGGGUUGUAAAGCUCUUUUACCCGAGAUGAUAAUGACAGUAGCGGGAGAAUAAGCUCCGGCUAACUCCGUG
This 433-nucleotide ribosomal RNA is filed under the name uncultured bacterium. RNAcentral's name for it is "partial 16S ribosomal RNA". It matches the Rfam family "Bacterial small subunit ribosomal RNA", at positions 29 to 507 of the family's 1533-position model. The record is from RNAcentral.